Molecule: ribosomal RNA, 898 nt
Filed under: Hypomyces gabonensis
Lineage: Eukaryota; Fungi; Ascomycota; Sordariomycetes; Hypocreales; Hypocreaceae
Description: LSU rRNA
Rfam family: Eukaryotic large subunit ribosomal RNA
Source: RNAcentral
UAGCAUAUCAAUAAGCGGAGGAAAAGAAACCAACAGGGAUUGCCCCAGUAACGGCGAGUGAAGCGGCAACAGCUCAAAUUUGAAAUCUGGCCCCCCGGGCCCGAGUUGUAAUUUGCAGAGGAUGCUUUUGGCAAGGCGCCGCCCGAGUUCCCUGGAACGGGACGCCGCAGAGGGUGAGAGCCCCGUCUGGCUGGACGCCGAGCCUUCGUAAAGCUCCUUCGACGAGUCGAGUAGUUUGGGAAUGCUGCUCAAAAUGGGAGGUAUAUGUCUUCUAAAGCUAAAUACCGGCCAGAGACCGAUAGCGCACAAGUAGAGUGAUCGAAAGAUGAAAAGCACUUUGAAAAGAGGGUUAAACAGUACGUGAAAUUGUUGAAAGGGAAGCGCUCGUGACCAGACUUGGGCUUGGCGGAUCAUCCGGCGUUCUCGCCGGUGCACUUCACCUCGCCCAGGCCAGCAUCAGUUCGCGCCGGGGGACAAAAGCUUCGGGAAUGUGGCUCCUCCGGGAGUGUUAUAGCCCGUCGCACAAUACCCUGGGGCGGACUGAGGUUCGCGCAUCUGCAAGGAUGCUGGCGUAAUGGUCACCAGCGACCCGUCUUGAAACACGGACCAAGGAGUCGUCUUCGUAUGCGAGUGUUCGGGUGUCAAACCCCUACGCGUAAUGAAAGUGAACGCAGGUGAGAGCUUCGGCGCAUCAUCGACCGAUCCUGAUGUUCUCGGAUGGAUUUGAGUAAGAGCAUACGGGGCCGGACCCGAAAGAAGGUGAACUAUGCCUGUAUAGGGUGAAGCCAGAGGAAACUCUGGUGGAGGCUCGCAGCGGUUCUGACGUGCAAAUCGAUCGUCAAAUAUGGGCAUGGGGGCGAAAGACUAAUCGAACCUUCUAGUAGCUGGUUUCCGCCGA